This 463-nucleotide ribosomal RNA is filed under the name Escherichia coli. Its description in RNAcentral is "bacterial SSU rRNA". It matches the Rfam family "Bacterial small subunit ribosomal RNA", at positions 1 to 460 of the family's 1533-position model. RNAcentral also lists the same sequence under 1 other name. The record is from RNAcentral. Lineage: Bacteria; Pseudomonadati; Pseudomonadota; Gammaproteobacteria; Enterobacterales; Enterobacteriaceae.
AAAUUGAAGAGUUUGAUCAUGGCUCAGAUUGAACGCUGGCGGCAGGCCUAACACAUGCAAGUCGAACGGUAACAGGAAUCAGCUUGCUGAUUCGCUGACGAGUGGCGGACGGGUGAGUAAUGUCUGGGAAACUGCCUGAUGGAGGGGGAUAACUACUGGAAACGGUAGCUAAUACCGCAUAACGUCGCAAGACCAAAGAGGGGGACCUUCGGGCCUCUUGCCAUCGGAUGUGCCCAGAUGGGAUUAGCUAGUAGGUGGGGUAACGGCUCACCUAGGCGACGAUCCCUAGCUGGUCUGAGAGGAUGACCAGCCACACUGGAACUGAGACACGGUCCAGACUCCUACGGGAGGCAGCAGUGGGGAAUAUUGCACAAUGGGCGCAAGCCUGAUGCAGCCAUGCCGCGUGUAUGAAGAAGGCCUUCGGGUUGUAAAGUACUUUCAGCGGGGAGGAAGGGAGUAAAGU